CCUACGGGAGGCAGCAGUGAGGAAUAUUGGUCAAUGGACGCAAGUCUGAACCAGCCAUGCCGCGUGCAGGAAGACGGCUCUAUGAGUUGUAAACUGCUUUUGUACGAGGGUAAACGCAGAUACGCGUAUCUGUCUGAAAGUAUCGUACGAAUAAGGAUCGGCUAACUCCGUGCCAGCAGCCGCGGUAAUACGGAGGAUUCAAGCGUUAUCCGGAUUAAUUGGGUUUUAAGGGUUCGUAGGCGGUCGGUUAAGUUAACGGGGAAAUCCCGAGGCUCAACUUCGGAAUUGCCUCUGAUACUGUUCGGCUAGAGAGUAGUUGCGGUAGGCGGAAUGUAUGGUGUAGCGGUGAAAUGCUUAGAGAUCAUACAGAACACCGAUUGCGAAGGCAGCUUACCAAGCUACUUCUGACGUUGAGGCACGAAAGCGUGGGGAGCAAACAGGAUUAGAUACCCGUGUAGUC
RNAcentral lists this ribosomal RNA (460 nucleotides) under uncultured bacterium. Its description in RNAcentral is "partial 16S ribosomal RNA". It matches the Rfam family "Bacterial small subunit ribosomal RNA", at positions 338 to 795 of the family's 1533-position model. The record is from RNAcentral.